CUACGGGAGGCAGCAGUAGGGAAUUUUCCACAAUGGACGAAAGUCUGAUGGAGCAACGCCGCGUGCAGGAUGAAGGCUUUCGGGUCGUAAACUGCUUUUAUCUGUGAUGAAUUUGACAGUAGCAGAAGAAUAAGGAUCGGCUAACUACGUGCCAGCAGCCGCGGUCAUACGUAGGAUCCAAGCAUUAUCCGGAAUUACUGGGCGUAAAGAGUUGCGUAGGUGGCAUUGUAAGCGGGGCAUGAAAUCGUGUGGCUCAACCAUACGGCUAUGUUCUGAACUGCAAAGCUAGAGAGCGAGAGAGGUCACUGGAAUUCCAAGUGUAGGAGUGAAAUCCGUAGAUAUUUGGAGGAACACCGAUGGCGUAAGCAGGUGACUGGCUCGUUUCUGACACUCAGGCACGAAAGCGUGGGGAGCGAACGGGAUUAGAUACCCGUGUAGUC
Molecule: ribosomal RNA, 440 nt
Filed under: uncultured bacterium
Lineage: Bacteria
Description: partial 16S ribosomal RNA
Rfam family: Bacterial small subunit ribosomal RNA
Source: RNAcentral